UACGUAGGGAGCGAGCGUUGUCCGGAUUCAUUGGGCGUAAAGAGCUCGUAGGCGGCUUGAUAAGUCGGAUGUGAAACCUCCAGGCUCAACCUGGAGUCGCCAUCCGAUACUGUCAUGGCUAGAGUCCGGUAGGGGCCCACGGAAUUCCUGGUGUAGCGGUGAAAUGCGCAGAUAUCAGGAGGAACACCGAUGGCGAAGGCAGGUCUCUGGGCAUUAACUGACGCUGAGGAGCGAAAGCAUGGGGAGCGAACAGG
RNAcentral lists this ribosomal RNA (254 nucleotides) under uncultured bacterium. Its description in RNAcentral is "partial 16S ribosomal RNA". It matches the Rfam family "Bacterial small subunit ribosomal RNA", at positions 524 to 776 of the family's 1533-position model. The record is from RNAcentral.